UUUAUGCGCAGGUUGCAAUCAGCUAGUAGGGCGAUUGGCAUCGUAUAAGUGUUAAACCUGCGUUUCCGAGUAUGAAGAUGUUAUGCGGAGGGAAGAUUCCAUCAUGAGGGUUUAAUUUACUUGCAUGCUUCCUGAUUGCUUCCUGAUUGCUUCCUUCAAUUUUUAUGGAAGUUGUACCGAUGUGGAAGAUUCACAUACAUCGAAAUAAUAUUUGGGCCUUCUCAUUCAUUCUGAACCACUCCUUGCCCUCUGGAUCUAGCAUAAUAGGUUAGUGAGGCCCACUCCAGCCUUUCACACAAGUGUGGGUAAGAAUUUCCGUGUAAAAAUGGAAGGUACCAAUUACGAAACAGGUCAAACAAUCGCACGCUAAAGAAUGAACUCAGAUGAAGGUUGCAGUAUGCAGCAUCAGGGCAGUUUUAAAACGUCAUCCACCUAGAACAGUUCUUCAAAACCCUCUAAUCGAGGCAGUUCAAGAAAUUUUUUUACCAAGAACACUUCAACGUGAACCUAAAAUUCGAAUAGUUUACAAAAUCUCUUAGAAACAAGGCAAGUAAAAUAACUCUGCAGGAAUUUCGUGCCUGUCUUCUUAUUUGAAUAAACAUCGUUUUCACUGUAAUGAUCAAUCACCAAAAUUUCGAUACAACUAAAAUUGAAUGAACCUUAUCAUCGUGUUAAAUCUAUAUUGUGAAUUUACCAAAUUAAUUACCUUCAUAAGGACUAAAUCAAACUGGAAAAUUUACUAAACUAUCUUCGUACCGAUAUUAGUAUAUCCGUUAGCGUCCUAUCUGGCAUUGGUUAAUUCUUUUUCUCUACUUUACCAUUUUCGCAAUUGCAAUUGCAUCAUUCAUUAGUCCACCGGCGCCCUAUUUGGCCUGGGUGAAUUAUCCUUCUUUCAUUUGAAAAACCUUCCACAAAACCCCACGGUAGAUGCCACAAAGCUAGAUCUGAACAGCUAAGAAAAAGAGCUUAUAAAUAUAUACAUAUAAAAGUGGAUUUUCUGAAGAUUUUACAUAUUCCUUGCUGUUUUAAAUUUCUAUACUUUCUGUCAUGCCGUGAGCGGAGUUACUGUCUUAGGGGUAGGAAAGAGUCAGUCUUCCAUUAUUGGUUAAUUUUUGUCUGGUUGGAUAUUCGGGCACUGGUCUGUCUAUAUAAGUCUGUUUCAUUGAAAAAUUUCGUAUUAUUACUUUGAAUGUCAAGUAAGUCUUGAGCAUCACGUACCGCAAUCACGAGAUCUCCCUUCCUGUCAUUCUUUGUCAUAGAGACAGCCAAGUAUCCCAUGUACAAACGUUUCUGGGUGAACUCGCUCAUGUUGCUUUGGCAGAAUUUGAUUUUCCCAGACUGGAUGAGCCUGCGCAAAUCUGCCAUAGGUAUGUUGUGUUUUUGCAUAGAGUACUGUUCUAGUUACUAUAUUUAUCUCACUUAUUAUGUGUGUUUUAUUAAUACUCCGAUUCAUUUUGCUAAUAACGUACACGUUUUACUUCGUGACGAGUCCAUCGAAGCUUCGAGAUAUCCUGCUCAGGUUGCAUCAAAAAUGAACCUUGCUAUUCAUGAGGUUACGUUGUUUGACCUUGAUAAAGUUCAGUGCUUAGUGUCUGGCGCUUCGAACUAUGAAUCCGAAAUGUAUGUAUGGAAUUCAAUGGCUUACGGAGGAACGAUGUGGCGAAGAAGCUCCCGUCUAGAAUUAAGUCUAUUCCAUUUUGCCAAUCCCCGAUGGGUUUUGGAUUGAUUACAACCCCAAUUAUUGAUUGAAUUUAGUAACGUUGAUCAAUCGAUGAUUUUUGAAUUAUUUUCAGUUGGCAUUCGCGGUCCGCUGCCACCAUUUUAUUUAUAAGUAGAUCAGUUACGUUCUAGAAGGAACAUUGCGAGUUAAUUCUGAUUCGCUGUCUGAUUUAGUUACACCCUUGACUUACGUAGCUGAUGGUAUAUGAAUCUGGGAAAUCUGCUGAGCAGCUCCUUAGGACUUCUCGGUCAGCUCAAUCAAAGUCUAAGUUUGUCAAGUUUUGGGGAGAGCCAACGAUCGUUACGGGCGAUUGAACCAAUAAUCGUCAUACGUUUCCCUGAAGAGGUUCGUGAAUAUAAAGGACAUCGAAGAUAGGCGCUACACCAAGUCACUUAUCCGGAGUGAAGCUAAUGGUUUCGAAAGAUCGGGCCUACAUCUUUGAGAUUCGCAGGAUGCAAUAGAUUAUUGUGGAGUUCGGUGGCUCGUCGAAAGAUGGUAAUGGGGAAGAGUCCCCGAUUUAUAACUGGAACCAGGUGGAUCGUCAAGGGCCCGAAGGAUUGUGGGCAGUUUAUAAUCCAAAUUAUGAACAUCACUUCAAGUUGCAAGUUUUAUUGUAGAAUUUGUCAAACUUUUACUUGCUUUCUUUGCAAAAUAUAUAUUUUAACAUUUUUCUAUAUUCAAUUGUCUGAUUGCUUUUUUAUUUAUAUAAGUGAAUUGAUAGAUUAUCCGCAUUCGCGUCUGGUGCGCUCCCACGAUGUAAAGUGUAGCGUAAGAGGAUCUCGUCUCUCUUAAUCAAAGAAAGAAAACGGCCUAAGUUGGGACCAUCCAGGGAAGGCCUAGGUUGCCUCCUUGCAUGAACUCAGGGGGCUAUGCGGCUGUCCACGGCAACGUGUGUGGGAAAUGUGGCGCACUGUCUGGUCCUCAGAAAACACUGGACUCAGGGUACAUAGAAAAGAGAUCUCAAAGACAACGGUUGUGCAUGCUAACUCAAGUCUAUUCAAUUCUUGCACUGAAAAAAGAGUGUUGUUAUAACAAAUAAAUAUAAUUCGUUGACUAUUUUGAGAAAGCAUUUUUAACUGUUGAAAAAAUUAUUAACGUGCAAUAAACAUGUGUGCUAUUACAACUACAAUUGAAAUUUUGUAGUAUUGGAAGCAAAUAGAAUACUAACCUCUCACAAAAAUACGUUUAUUAUUGAAAACAUAAUAUAAAAUUGUAGCAGGCAAAGUCAGAAUUGAUUAAAAAAAAUUUCUCUUUGACCAAAAAGUUAGCACUAAUUUGAGGGAAUUUCAUUCGUUGUUAUUUCGAAUGAAGAUUUAUUAACAGUUACCAAAUCUUGUUUGAGGAUUCGAAGCUCGUAAACCCACUAAUCGCACGUUCCAAGCAGGUUCUUUACAUUUUACACGCGGUUCGUAGGCCGAGCGGUUGACUUAUAAUAAAAGCCAGUGUGACAGUCCAACAGUAAUGUUAUGCAACUGAUAUUAAAAUGUUAGGGCUUAUCCGACCUUCUCCCAUUAUUUAAAUGUUGGUGCAGUGGAUUUUCAUAGAAUUCGUUGGCUCCUCGAGGGCAUAUAUGAAUUUGUAACUUCGUUCAAUAGUAACCUAAAAUAUAUCUUCAUUAGACAUUUAAUUGUAUCUUGUUUUGUGUGUUAGAAUUUAUUAUCCUUCCCAUAAAGUAGUCUGUAAGUGAGUUUGUAAGUUAUUUUCAGACUUUGGUCCUGAUUUAAUAGUAUCCUCUGACGAUUGAGCUACUUGGUUUUACUGAAAUUUUCAUUGCUCAACGCAAGUGAAUCUUUCGUUAUGGUCCAGCAUCCACAAAAACAGAAGGAACCAAAUGGGAAGUACGUUGGUAAACUGCACGUUAAAGAACAAACUCUAAAAAAACGUUUCACUGUUCAAAAACGGGGCAGGUUUUUUAAGCCUUUUUGGCAAGCGGUUCAAAACCAUUUUUUCACUAGAGAAGUUAAUUGUUAUAAAAUCUCUCAAAUCGGGACAAAUUCUUUAAUAUUACUGAAGAAAUUCCAUAUUUCUCUUCUUUUGAAGAAUAUCAUUUUCAUAUUAAUAUUAAUCAUUCUAAUUUUAUUUCAACUGAAUUUGAAGAAACGUCAUCAUUAUGUUUAACUUUUUUUUUAUUUGUGAGUUUAAAGACAGAGAAAUAAAAAAAAUCAUAUCUCUAAGCAGUGAAGAUUUUAAAGUGAUUGUUAAAUAUUUCUCAUUUCUUUGCUAUUAUGUAUACAUGCAUAGUUUCUACCAAUGUUCGAAAUUUUGACGCGAGUUUCUGAUUCUAAUUUCGAUAAUAUUAUUUUCCGUAGUGUUUCUUAAUCAGGUGCUAAGUGUAUAAUCUGAAUUCAAAUUUUGUCUUUGUGUUAGAGGAAUUUUAUUGUGCUAAGAGACGAUUCAUAUAUAUUGGAGAUAUGUGUAUAAUCUGAAUUCAAAUUCUGUCUUUGCGUUACAGAAAAUUCUUUUCUCCAAGAGGUUCGCACACUUCGUGGAAGGCCGCCGACUUUGAGAUGUCGCGACUUACGUCGGGCAAGGAGGGAUCGAUUUCUACGUGAUUCGUUGGCUCCUUGAGGGCAGAUGGCGACAUGAGUCGCACACCAACGAUUGGGAUCACCCUGCUUGGUACUCAACGAGGGAACUGUGCGCAGCUUAGGACGAGGAUUAUUAGUCUGGCACUUCAAUUGUUGGUUUUAUAAAAUACAUGUCCAGUCGACAUUUAAUUGGA
Neodiprion virginianus is the source of this 4442-nucleotide long non-coding RNA. RefSeq lists it as uncharacterized. The record is from RefSeq and is a predicted model, not a curated record. The transcript has 2 exons. NCBI's taxonomy places the organism in Eukaryota, Metazoa, Arthropoda, Insecta, Hymenoptera, Diprionidae.